GGGAAGGUGGCUCAGUGGUAGAGUGCUUGCCUUGCAUGCAUGAGGCCCUGGGUUCGAUUACUCAGAAUUACUC
Dipodomys ordii (Ord's kangaroo rat) is the source of this 73-nucleotide non-coding RNA. The record is from Rfam. NCBI's taxonomy places the organism in Eukaryota, Metazoa, Chordata, Mammalia, Rodentia, Heteromyidae.